This 524-nucleotide ribosomal RNA is filed under the name uncultured Acidobacteriota bacterium. Its description in RNAcentral is "bacterial SSU rRNA". It matches the Rfam family "Bacterial small subunit ribosomal RNA", at positions 355 to 897 of the family's 1533-position model. The record is from RNAcentral. Lineage: Bacteria; Pseudomonadati; Acidobacteriota.
UGGGGAAUCUUGCACAAUGGGGGAAACCCUGAUGCAGCGACGCCGCGUGAGCGAUGAAGCCCUUCGGGGUGUAAAGCUCUUUCGACGGGAACGAUAAUGACGGUACCCGGAGAAGAAGCUGCGGCUAACUACGUGCCAGCAGCCGCGGUAAUACGUAGGCAGCAAGCGUUGUUCGGAGUUACUGGGCGUAAAGAGUGCGUAGGCGGUGCCCUAAGUCUGUUGUGAAAUCUCCCGGCUUAACUGGGAGGGUGCGGUGGAAACUGGGGUGCUUGAGAGUGGGAGAGGUAAGCGGAAUUCCUGGUGUAGCGGUGAAAUGCGUAGAUAUCAGGAGGAACACCGGUGGUGUAGACGGCUUACUGGACCACGACUGACGCUGAGGCACGAAAGCGUGGGUAGCAAACAGGAUUAGAUACCCUGGUAGUCCACGCCCUAAACGAUGCAUACUUGGUGUGAGCCAUUCAUUUGGUUCGUGCCGGAGCUAACGCGUUAAGUAUGCCGCCUGGGGAGUACGGUCGCAAGGCUGG